UAUUGUUUUCCAAUUUUACAA
RNAcentral lists this non-coding RNA (21 nucleotides) under Caenorhabditis elegans. Lineage: Eukaryota; Metazoa; Nematoda; Chromadorea; Rhabditida; Rhabditidae. The record is from RNAcentral.